AUCUGUUAGACAAGGUUUAUCUUUGUACAAAGGACACAACCACCACCUUGAAUUUAUUCACAUCACUGAGGGCAGUGAGGCCUGUUUAUCAAACUUUCCACAUGUUCCAGGAGGACUAUUUUAUACACAUAAGUGACAUUGUUUUCUGUUGAUCGUGCUGCUAUAAAAUUGUCAAUAUGUCCAUGCAGAUGGCACAGAGACUUUUUUGGGAUAUAUUGGCGGGACUAUUCAACAAAGUGUGGAUUCAAAGAUCGUCCUGCUGACAUUAAGGCAAAACUCCAAAAGGGGAAAAGCUGAUAGUGAUGGAGGAACCACACUAACCCUAUCAUUGGAAUACUGACUUUUGUAAUGACAACUAAUUCCAAAAGGGUCAGGUCUCUGCAAGCAGUGUUUUACCAAGAUUAGACAAACAGUAGCUGAUGGAGGAAUCAUAGUUGAUACAAAAAAGAUUAUGAUGGAGAUGAAAGCCAAAUUAAAGAUACUCAGGUUCUCAUAGGAGUAUAUUCAGAGCAUCAACUAAUUUUUCAUAAUAUUUAGCAUCAGAUUGGGAAACAGAUAACAUUUCUGACCGGGAGAAACUCAACAGAGGCUUGCAUUUCCUUUGAAAUGGAAAGUAUCCACCAUUUAGGAACCAAUUGAAUCUGGCAUGGGAUGAUGUAUCAAACAGUACAAUGGCUUUUUCUACAAAAUUAUGUUUUGACUGAAGCUCUUAUUGAUGCAUACUUACUAACUUCGACCUGAAUAGUCAUCUGAUCUGGCUUCAGAUCUUAUCACUGUUUGCAUGUAUUCAGACCGUUUUGCCUGUUUCUCUUUAUGGCAGACUUCCCUUAUAUUAUAUGACAGUAAAAUUAUAAGCAAACAGCCUGAAUAAUUAUAUAACCAUUUUAAUGAAAAUGUCUGCAUCACAGUUGAACCAUUUAUCUGUAUAUUUGUUUUUAUUCAUGUAGGUAUAAAAUAAAUUUUAUUUCCAUUUGAAA
Molecule: long non-coding RNA, 977 nt
Organism: Mytilus californianus (California mussel)
Lineage: Eukaryota; Metazoa; Mollusca; Bivalvia; Mytilida; Mytilidae
Exons: 3
Source: RefSeq, a predicted model, not a curated record